CCGACGGUGAGGGGCGAAAGCUGGGGGAGCAAACCGGAUUAGAUACCCGGGUAGUCCCAGCCGUAAACGAUGUGCGUUAGGUGUAUCGGUGACCACGAGUCACCGAGGUGCCGAAGAGAAAUCGUGAAACGUACCGCCUGGGAAGUACGGUCGCAAGGCUGAAACUUAAAGGAAUUGGCGGGGGAGCACCACAACAGGUGGAGCCUGCGGUUUAAUCGGACUCAACGCCGGAAAACUCACCAGAUAAGACAGCUGAAUGAUAGUCAGGCUGAAGACUCUACUUGACUAGCUGAGAGGAGGUGCAUGGCCGUCGUCAGUUCGUACUGUGAAGCAUCCUGUUAAGUCAGGCAACGAGCGAGACCCACGCCAACAGUUGCU
This 378-nucleotide ribosomal RNA is filed under the name uncultured archaeon. RNAcentral describes it as "bacterial SSU rRNA". It matches the Rfam family "Archaeal small subunit ribosomal RNA", at positions 691 to 1068 of the family's 1478-position model. The record is from RNAcentral.